GAUGAACGCUGGCGGCGUGCCUAAUACAUGCAAGUCGAGCGAACGGACGAGAAGCUUGCUUCUCUGAUGUUAGCGGCGGACGGGUGAGUAACACGUGGAUAACCUACCUAUAAGACUGGGAUAACUUCGGGAAACCGUAGCUAAUACCGGAUAAUAUUUUGAACCGCAUGGUUCAAAAGUGAAAGACGGCCUUGCUGUCACUUAUAGAUGGAUCCGCGCUGCAUUAGCUAGUUGGUAAGGUAACGGCUUACCAAGGCAACGAUGCAUAGCCGACCUGAGAGGGUGAUCGGCCACACUGGAACUGAGACACGGUCCAGACUCCUACGGGAGGCAGCAGUAGGGAAUCUUCCGCAAUGGGCGAAAGCCUGACGGAGCAACGCCGCGUGAGUGAUGGAGGUCUUCGGAUCGUAAAACUCUGUUAUUAGGGAAGAACAUAUGUGUAAGUAACUGUGCACAUCUUGACGGUACCUAAUCAGAAAGCCACGGCUAACUACGUG
RNAcentral lists this ribosomal RNA (497 nucleotides) under uncultured bacterium. RNAcentral describes it as "partial 16S ribosomal RNA". It matches the Rfam family "Bacterial small subunit ribosomal RNA", at positions 28 to 507 of the family's 1533-position model. The record is from RNAcentral.